GUCAGGAUGGCCGAGUGGUCUAAGGCGCCAGACUCAAGUUCUGGUCCUCGUAAGAGGGCGUGGGUUCAAACCCCACUUCUGACAUUU
This 87-nucleotide transfer RNA is filed under the name Arabidopsis thaliana (thale cress). RNAcentral's name for it is "tRNA-Leu(CAA)". It matches the Rfam family "tRNA". From Rfam's summary of the family: Transfer RNA (tRNA) molecules are approximately 80 nucleotides in length. Lineage: Eukaryota; Viridiplantae; Streptophyta; Magnoliopsida; Brassicales; Brassicaceae. The record is from RNAcentral.